CCCCAAAUAGCUCAGUUGGCAGAGCGUUAAACUGAAGGUCUAAAGGUUCCUGGUUCGAUCCCGGGUUUCGGCA
This 73-nucleotide transfer RNA is filed under the name Cordylochernes scorpioides. Its description in RNAcentral is "tRNA-Phe". It matches the Rfam family "tRNA". From Rfam's summary of the family: Transfer RNA (tRNA) molecules are approximately 80 nucleotides in length. Their secondary structure includes four short double-helical elements and three loops (D, anti-codon, and T loops). The record is from RNAcentral. Lineage: Eukaryota; Metazoa; Arthropoda; Arachnida; Pseudoscorpiones; Chernetidae.